GUGAUGACAGCUAACGUGGCAGUGCAUGGGUGUACUAAUACAUUGAUGGGACUGUGUUGGUGAAGACAUCCUGUCUGCCUCUGGGCAUGUACUGAAGGGCAGCUGGCACAGUCAUCUCUGUGGUGUUUGUCAGAUGUGGGGGUGGGAGAGUAUAUCUCCUUGCGAGCAGCUGUUUGUAUAGUUCUUGAAUGGUGUGCUUGAGGAGGUCUGUUGAAUCUUGAAAGCUUACAGAUAUGGGAUUUUGCUUUUUUUUUUUUUUUUUUAUUUCUUUCCUGUCCCCAUUAGAGUGUAAACCCUAGGAGGAACCUGUCACAGGAAAGAGCUCCUUCUGGAACUGUUCAACCCUUGGUAGGCAACUUCUGUUUAAUUUGUUAAAGCUGAAACACAGUGUACAACACGGGACUUGACCAUAGCUGCUUUUGGCAAGGGGUGUUGUAACUGGCCUAAGAGAGCAGAUGGAAGCGUCUGCCUCGAGGGCAGGUGAGGAGGCCGAGGUGCCAUGGCAGGCUCUCCACAGAAGCGGUUGAGGAUUGGAGAAGAGGUUGCAGAUGAUCAAGGAGCGACACGUGCACGGAUGGCUUGAAAACGGUGAUUAGCUUCAGGUUCCAGGUGGGACCUAGUGGUAACUGAGUUGCAGAUAUUCCAUGAUAGAGCUCAUUCUGCCUGGGCUGCUUUUUGGGGUAAGCGCUUUGUUUUUCCUUCAGUCAGUUUCAGGGUUCUUUAGGUGGGUCAGAGUCUAUGGACUGAUGCGUUUUCCAGUAGAAACCGGUACGCAUAUCUUUUUGAGUUGGUAACUGGUAGGAUCUGUCACUGUAAAGCAAUCUAGUAGUAGUGUGUGCCUGUAUUGCACG
Molecule: non-coding RNA, 851 nt
Organism: Anas platyrhynchos (mallard)
Lineage: Eukaryota; Metazoa; Chordata; Aves; Anseriformes; Anatidae
Source: RefSeq, a predicted model, not a curated record